CAAACUUCUACAAUUGGACCCAAAAAAAGUUCAGCUAAUAAAAAAGAUUAUGGAUUCUAUUAUAAUAUUUAGUCUACCUGCUCUCGUGAUAAUAAUCUGCAAUUUUCUGAUCGGAUAUCACAUUUAUCAGCAAAAUCGUGUUCGCAAAACCUUGGUUACAGCGUCCGAUUCCUCUAAUGAGAGAACUCAGAUUUUUAAGGAUAAAAUGCUUCAGCAUAAGAUCACAAAAAUGCUUAUUCUCGUUUCGAGCAUAUUUCUAAUCUUGAAAUUACCUGCACAUUACUUUUAUUACUUUAGGAAUUACUUCCGUGAAUAUGUCGAUGUGUUUGUUGUGAUAACAAUAUUCGACUUAUUAGACACAGCACAUUACAGUAUAAAUUUGUUCUCUAUUGCGCAACGGGACAAACUUUUCGCAGAGAACUAAUCCACAUGUUUACGAAACGUACAAAUAUGAGAAAAACAGAAAUAUCAAAGAGAUGUACAAUUAUAAAUAACAGUAUAAUUGAUGUCCAGUUAUGCAGUAAUAAUAAGGUUUACGUCUAAUCGCACUUCAAACAAAACAGUGUAUUUGUUAACAACGAACAACUGAAAGUUUCUCAAGAGAAGCUAACACUUCUGACAUACACGAGAGAUUAUAAUAUGGUAUACAUUAUAACUUCAUAAAAAUAUAAUUAACUACAAAUAGCUAAAUAAGAUAGUUAAACAUAUUAUUGUAUUAAAAGUGUUAAAAAUAAAUCAAAAACAACAAUUGGAAAAAUCUACUACCUACAUAUAUGUACAUGUAGGUAGUAUGUACAAUGUUUUAGCGCAUCAUACAGAAAACAACAGUUUUAUCAAUUCUAUUAAUGAAUGUGGACCUAUAUAUUUUAGAAAAAAAUGUUGAUUUAAUUAUUUGAAAUAGGAAAAUUAUGACAUCAUAGAUUGUAAUACAAAGACCAUUUGUUGUCAUCAAACUUAUGUAAAUAACUCGUUUAUUCAUUACAAGAAUAUUUUCUAAAG
Linepithema humile (Argentine ant) is the source of this 999-nucleotide non-coding RNA. Lineage: Eukaryota; Metazoa; Arthropoda; Insecta; Hymenoptera; Formicidae. The record is from RefSeq and is a predicted model, not a curated record.